CUCAGCUAGUGAAGGUUUGGUGGUCAAAAGGUCCAUGGAAGAAGCUAAUGAUAACUGAUGAUUCACUGGGACAUUUCUGGGAAGACUUGCAAAUUUCCCUGCAGCUAUCAUUCUUGGUAAGUCAGAGCACGGCUGCGCAGGCUCUAUGGGCGGCGUGCGGAGAAUCCAACAGGUGGCUCCGUGGCGCAAUGGAUAGCGCAUUGGACUUCUAGAGGGUGAAGCGAUUCAAAGGUUCCGGGUUCGAGU
Molecule: long non-coding RNA, 246 nt
Organism: Oxyura jamaicensis (ruddy duck)
Lineage: Eukaryota; Metazoa; Chordata; Aves; Anseriformes; Anatidae
Exons: 3
Source: RefSeq, a predicted model, not a curated record